This is a non-coding RNA of Paramisgurnus dabryanus, 1364 nucleotides long. Lineage: Eukaryota; Metazoa; Chordata; Actinopteri; Cypriniformes; Cobitidae. The record is from RefSeq and is a predicted model, not a curated record.
CAACAUUAUCCUAAUAGCAUAAUAUCUUUUUGGGCGGCAUGACAUUUGAAUAAAUGACCUAAAUGUUUUUAUAAGUGUAGUCUCUCGAACAUCAUGAGAGGAGCUGCUCUGUUUCUGCUGAUCGCUGCCUUCAUCGAAGAACGGGAAAUAAAUAAAAAAUAUUUUGUUUUGUCUAUCCAUAUAAAUUAUAUUUACACUGUACAUAUAUAACAUAUAGAAAUGUUAUUUAUAAAAUAUAUUUUGUAAUUUUUAAUGUAAUGUAAAACUUUUUUGAUAUCCACAGAAUCACACUGGAUAAAUAAUUAUGAUUAUGAAUUCAGUUUCAUUUGUCCCCAUGGUCAGUCAAUAUCCUAUAUAAAGGGCCAACAUCAUAAUUAUUAUGAGGACAGAUUGUGGGACAUUGGCUGUAAAAAGGCCUUCAGCUCCGACUCCGAAUGUUUUUGUUCCCCUUACGUGAACUACUUUGAUGAACCAUUCACCUACACCUGUCUGUCAAACUAUGUUCUAACAGGAAUAGGGAGUUUCCAUAGCAACCCACAGGAAGACAGACGAUGGCAAUUUUGAUUGCUGUAAAGGUAGCGACCACUGUAAUGCCAACUGUUAUUGGACUACAUAUGUCAAUUGGUUUGAUGAGGAAUUUCAUUGGAAUGUACCUCACUUUAAUUAUCUAGUGGGUGCUGAAAGCUACCAUCACAAUCAUUAUGAAGAUCGUCGUUGGAGAUACAAGUAAUGUGCAAACAACUGUUGAAAAGUGCUUCUCACAAAGUCAACUCAAUAAUUGAUUUUAUUGAAAUUAAUAAAAAAUGGCUUGAAGAAUAAAGAGGAUUUUCUUAUUUUAUCAAUGCAUUAAAGGGGACAUUUCACAAGACUUUUUUAAAAUGUAAAAUAAAUCAAUUAAGCCCAGAUUAAUAUUGUGUGGAAACGUUAACCAUCUAAGACCUGGAUGUCCACAUACAUUUUGCACCAUAAUACUUAAUUCUGUGUAACUGGAACCUGUUGUGCAUAAAUGUGGACAAUUACACUGCUUCAUGUUCAAAGAAAACUAUUUGGUUAGUAUAUUUAUUGGUUCUUCCUAACCCCAAAAUAGCUGAAAGAAAUCUGAAAAAAAGACAAAGCUCUGGUCUUAGGAGGUUAAUUCUAAGUACUCUUAACAAAAUAGGCUUCAAGAUUGGUGAUGCUGUUUAUUCCAAAUUCCUAAUCUGCCUUUCUUAUGUAACUUCAUAGUUACUGGAUUAUAGCAAGCAUAUUUUGCCUAAUUUUGGAUAAGAGAAGUUAAAGUGUCAUUGUCAAAAUGAGCUAUGUUACAGUUUUUAAAAUGAAUUCUGUGUAAUUAAACCUAAAAAAAAAAAUAGGGCUACUAACCA